RNAcentral lists this long non-coding RNA (845 nucleotides) under Homo sapiens (human). RNAcentral describes it as "HSALNT0203634". Lineage: Eukaryota; Metazoa; Chordata; Mammalia; Primates; Hominidae. The record is from RNAcentral.
CCUGGGUUUCCGAAAAUGGGGCGUGGCCCACAUGUAGCAGAGGUGCAGAGAAAUACAGCCCCCAGCUUGGCUGGGACAGGAUGGGCGUGGUCAUGGCCCAUUGCAAGCGGCAGGUGAAGUGCCUGGGCGAGGUCUGGGCAAAGGGAAGUGGACGGCCCAGGUGAAGAGAAGCGAGGCAGAAAUUAGGGAGGGGGCGUGGCCGAUUUAGAGAAGCAAUCAGAGUGAAUAGGGCGUAGCUGUGGGGACAGGCGUGACAUGGAAGAGCAUAGGGGCCAGUCAGGGAGGAGACCUUGGAGGGAGAGAAAUGGAGGGUGCCUGAGGGGGAUGUGCUAAAGCCAAAGCACAUUUGCCCCCUCCCAGCGGGUAGGGGAGUGGUGGAGGCGGAGCACAGAGGUGUGGCCUGUCAGAGAAGGCGUUGUUACGACAGCACAGAGAGUACGGCCCUAGGAGCAGGACCCUGCACACAGCUGAGCUCAGAGGCUCCAGUCUGGCCACGAGAAUGCAAUGGGAGGUAUUCUUCAUUGAUCUUACUCGAAGUUGAGAACAUGUAUUUUGACUCUGAGAAAUGUUUGGAGGUCAACUGCAGUGAGGUCUCUAUACCACAGAGUGGUGAGUCCCCAAGUCCCGGUGAACUUAGGAAAUGGGCAUUAUCCUCUGGAAGACGUUUAUAGAGGUGACUUUUUUGAUAGAAAAUUGGAUGUCUGCCUGGCAAAUUGGAUAAAGGGUCAAGACCCAUCAGUGUGCUGUAUUCAGGAAACCCAUCUCACAUGCAAAGACACACAUAGGAUCAAAAUAAAGGGAUGGAGGAAGAUCUACCAAGCAAAUGGAAAAUAAAAAAAGGCAGG